CAAAGUGCUUACAGUGCAGGUAGCUUCUUGAGAUCUACUGCACUGCAAGCACUUCUUAC
This 59-nucleotide microRNA precursor is filed under the name Rattus norvegicus (Norway rat). RNAcentral describes it as "Rno-Mir-17-P1c_pre stem-loop". It matches the Rfam family "mir-17 microRNA precursor family", at positions 12 to 69 of the family's 80-position model. Rfam says of the family: This family represents the microRNA (miRNA) precursor mir-17, family, which includes mir-20, mir-91, and mir-103. miRNAs are transcribed as ~70nt precursors (modelled here) and subsequently processed by the Dicer enzyme to give a ~22nt product. The record is from RNAcentral. Lineage: Eukaryota; Metazoa; Chordata; Mammalia; Rodentia; Muridae.